RNAcentral lists this long non-coding RNA (346 nucleotides) under Homo sapiens (human). RNAcentral describes it as "non-protein coding lnc-PDYN-1:21". The record is from RNAcentral. Lineage: Eukaryota; Metazoa; Chordata; Mammalia; Primates; Hominidae.
CACCUUGGAAGAAGAAAUCCACAGGAGGAAAAAAAGAAAAAAUUCUCAAACUACAGGAAGUGGAGAGAACAGUACAGUGACCCUACACGCUUGUUACCAGCCUCACCUGUCACCCACAUGGAGUCCUUCCCAUUUGUGGGGUUUCCAGGAUUUGCUGAGCACCUACUAUGCAUCAGACGCUGUGUUCUAGGCAAGGGGGAUACACCUGAUGGAAGAAGGUCCUUCCCUAGACGUAGCUAACAUCCCAGUGUGGGAGAUGACACGAAACAGCAAACUCCCCACAACAGCCUCCUCAACGCUGCCUCCCACAGUGCUUGGACAAAAUAAUUACAGCAAGAUGCGGGCA